This 73-nucleotide transfer RNA is filed under the name Anaerolineae bacterium. RNAcentral describes it as "tRNA-Phe". It matches the Rfam family "tRNA". Rfam says of the family: Transfer RNA (tRNA) molecules are approximately 80 nucleotides in length. Their secondary structure includes four short double-helical elements and three loops (D, anti-codon, and T loops). Further hydrogen bonds mediate the characteristic L-shaped molecular structure. tRNAs have two regions of fundamental functional importance: the anti-codon, which is responsible for specific mRNA codon recognition, and the 3' end, to which the tRNAs corresponding amino acid is attached (by aminoacyl-tRNA synthetases). tRNAs cope with the degeneracy of the genetic code in two manners: having more than one tRNA (with a specific anti-codon) for a particular amino acid; and 'wobble' base-pairing, i.e. permitting non-standard base-pairing at the 3rd anti-codon position. The record is from RNAcentral. Lineage: Bacteria; Bacillati; Chloroflexota; Anaerolineae.
GCCUCUGUAGCUCAGUUGGUAGAGCACACGACUGAAAAUCGUGGGGUCAACAGUUCAAGCCUGUUCGGAGGCA